This 1513-nucleotide long non-coding RNA is filed under the name Sus scrofa (pig). Its description in RNAcentral is "lncRNA (ENSSSCG00015007003.1)". The record is from RNAcentral. Lineage: Eukaryota; Metazoa; Chordata; Mammalia; Artiodactyla; Suidae.
AUGUCAUAUGAAAGAAGACAGACCCACGCAAGUCUAUUCUAUAUGAUUCUAUUUACAUGGAGCUUAACAUCAGACGAAACUAGUGGAUGGGAUUUUUUUUUUAAAGGGCCGCACCUGUGGGAUCAAACCCACAUCCUCAUGGAUACCAGUCGGAUUGCUUUCCACUGCGCCACAACGGGAACUCCUGGACUUUGCUCUUUUCUUUGCUGCCUUAGAGAUUCCUCUUAGCCACGUUGGGCGAUUAUUAGUUACUUCCCAGUUUACUGAGUCAGAUAAUGAAGACUUCCCAAAGCCAAUCCACACUCGGGGGAUCUUACCAGGAAACCACCCUUUGGUCUUUCGUUUAGUUUAUACUUUCUGAGUCAGAGCUCCCAAUUUGCCUUCUACUGGGAAGGGUCCAAUCUGACCUUUUAAAUGUUUCAAGCACAGCAUCUGACUUUGUUUCACACCCUCAUUGGCAGGAGUCAAGCAAGCCCCUCCUCAGCUGUAAAGGCAGAAUGUCAAAAAGCACAUUCUGACAAUGUGUGAACGCACACACCCCCUGAGCAAAGAGAAAGCCUUGUCGUCCUUGUCUUUAACAGCCAACAUAAUAAUAACUUCAGCUUCCCUGUAAAAGCACCAUUAGCUACAGCCCACAAACCUAAGGGAAAAAAAAAAUCCUCGAAGGUGAAUUCCCCCCACCUUCACCCCUGCCUCUUCUACUACUUAAAAUACACCCAAUUGUUGAAAAGGGGUCUUAAUAUGCCAAACUUUUUUUUUUUUUUUUUUUGCCUCUUCUAGGGCCGCACCUACGGCACACGGAGGUUCCCAGGUUAAGGGGUCGAAUCAAAGCUGUAGCCGCCGGCCUACACCACCGCCACAGCAACGCAGGAUCCGAGCCGCGUCUGCGACUGCUCAUGGCAACGCCAGAUCCUUCACCCAGCGAGGCCAGGGAUCGAACCCGCAACCUCAUGGUUCCUAGCCAGAUUCGUUAACCACUGCGCCAUGACGGGAACGCCCAAACUUUCUAUUUUAAUGAUGACCAAAGGCAAGUUCUUUUGAAUUGUGUCACAGUGAAAAACUUUGUGAACUUGAGAACCCGAUCGUCUUUCUUUUUCUUAUUAAACCCAUCGUUAGUUGAGUCAGGUAGGUGAAUUAUAAAGGUACCUCUUGGACGUUGGGCUUGGAAAAGCGGCAAGGUAGGAGGAGAAAAAUGACAAGAUGGUUACAAACAGAAGCAAUGGUUUAAAAGAAGCUGCCAAAUGCAUCAGUAUUCUGAUAAAUGAGACAUCAGGUCACCAACGAGACACAGUGGUGGUGAAACACAGCUCUUAUUAGGUUGGCUCAACAGGGUGACUUUGCUAACAGUGACCCCAGUUAAAUUCUUCAGAACCAUUUUUACGCAGACUCAGGAAAAGUGUUUUUAAAAGCAAGUAUCAAGCAACAACCGGUUCGAGGCAAAGCCCCGCCGUCACCAUGGAAACACGGUGCCUCUCUUGUUUAGAGCAAUAAAAACUCAUGCAGUAGAAAGACA